ACAAUGGGGCAAUCAAGUACGUAAAAGAUAUAGGCACAUCCUCUCUGCCACGGACACAGCCCUAGCGAUUGCGACGGCCACGAGAAUCCCCUCAGCGCCGGCGUCCCCGGCGGCCGCGCUCGCCGUGUCGUCCUCGGGAUCACCCGCCGGGUCAGCUCCCUUGACCUAGCCUUCAAGUCCGAAGCCCAGACCUAGCCCGCAGCAGCAUCCCUUAUUCCACAUCUCACUGGAGGAAGAUCGGGAAGAGGAGGCAGGGGAGAUGGGAGUGGGAGGCCGGUCCCGUGGGACCCGGCGGGGGACGAGUAUUGGCGCAGGAGCCGACGCUCGCCUAGCGGCUGCUGGACACCAGUGAGCUGGAGCGGCUGCGGCGGGCGGCGCACGGGAUGGGGUGGUUGCGGGCGAAAAAGUGCGGAGUGACGGAUGAGGUGGAGGAGGACCUGCACAAGGUGUAUGCUGGCGGCCAGGGUCCCGCCGGCUGGGCCGUCGAGCCGCUUCGUCCGUGCAUGGACGGAGCAAGGGAGAUCACAUCUUGUUGCCGGAUCCUCCAUGUGAGUGUUUAAUUACUUGCAAUUUGACGCAACAGAUGCUUCAGAUUUAGUUUUCAGUUUUGUCAUCCAUCUAAUUGUGUAUAUAUGUGGCAGAGAAAUAUGAAAUUUUGAUGUAAAUGUUCAUUAAUCAUAACUGACAAUGCUCGAUGCAUGGGUGAGAGUGGAGGCCGGCUGAGGAAGACGACGCCAUCAAAGGGGAUGGAGUUCAUAUUGCAGCCUAUCAAAUGGUUUUAAGAUCCGGAAUAAGUGACUAGGCAAUUGUGUUGUUAAUUUGGUUUAACAGCUUCAAAGGGCACUGAGAAUGAAGUUUGCAUUCUACGAAACUCAUUGCUACCUUGCGACCAUAAUUUACCUUCCGAGCGCAAGAGGUGCAGUCAUCACCGUUCCUGCCGUCCUUCGGCUGGGCCGUCAAGAAACUCCUGCAGUUCUCUCUACAUGCACCGUCGAGGUCACCGAAGGUCUCACAAAUCAAUCAGGUGAACCUUUAAUUCGAUCUGGGGUAUUUUGUGGUUUGCAUGACUAAUACUGCACUUUUGGCACUUGGUGGUGGGUCAGAACUUUUUGAUCUGCAAUUUCAUCUACCAACCAAUCUUCCUCUGAUAGAUACUAGAAACAUUUUUUGGGACAGGAAGAAAUUGCUAUUCCGGAGUUUAAUUAAUCAUUUGAUAAUCCCUUUGGAAAAUACAUGUGAUCUGGAGCAUGAAAAUCAUUCUCAUAUAUAGAUAUAGGAGGAAAUGUGGCUGAUGCAAGAGUGUUUUUUAGACCUGUAUUUUUACAAGGAGGUUCAUACUUAUACAUACGAAGAUUAGAAUUUGACUAGAUGCAUAAGUUUGGCUGGUUGAGAAAUUUGAAUUCACUAUCCCUCAUAAAGUGUAUGUUUGGUGGGUGCACGUGCAUUAGAGAAUAAAUAAGAAUCAUGGGGCUUCCAGCGCUCUAGAAUUCUAGCAUUGGGAUUAUCUUAGGUUGCCGAUUACUGUACUGAAAAUGUGUAAUUAGAUAUGACGCGUACAUAAGAAUUGUGCAGCAAUCUUGUCUUACAAAGUGGGAUCAAGAGGGAUACUGAAGAAAUGAAGAUGCAGAGUCUCUGUUUCCUAUGAUUACUUCUCAUGUUCAUGUCGGCUUCCUUGGGCUUUACUUCCUACCACCAGAUGCAUUAAACUGGACCGUAUCAAGAGGUAAUGUCAUCCCCUUGAUUAGAGUUGCCUUAUUUGUGCUAUUUAGUCAGCGUGUGUUUUACAUAUUAUGUCACUUAGCCUGGAAUUAAGGUGGGUUGUGCCUACCUAGGCACUAGCUCCAGGGAUAUAGGAUUGAAUUCAGAAUAAAUGAUUCAUUCUUAGAGAAAACUUAUGUGGGGGACAAGAGGUAGUAUUAAACUAUUAAUAUGUUGAUUAAUAUCGGUAAUAUUCAGAAGUCACACAAAGCAUUCUUGGAGUAUGUGGGGGACAAAAUAUGCACUAUAAUGAUAGACUUUAGCGACUAAGAACAUCGAAAAGCUCAAGUGUCACUGUUACCUAAAUUGUGCACAGUGUAUUCAUACUGUUUCCAAAAAUUAUGUGUCAAUUUCAGAAUUUCUUAUGUUGAUUGUAAGAUGCACAUUUGUUGAUUUAUGGUACAAGUUUUCUUCUAAUGUACAAAUGACAACUGUGAGUUCGCUAUGUUAUCCUCCCUGCUUACUAUUUUGGUGAUCACAGGGGAUGCGGAACGCACUCCUUUAUAUACUUCUUUCCCCGGGAAGUGAAGGUUAUGUUUUUUAAUAUCAUGUGAGCUGCACUUUGUUUUUGUUAAAGAGAAUAUUAGAACUGGACUAUUUGUUUGGACAAAAACAAUGGGGGAGCUUCUUAUUGUACAGAUACAAACUAUUGUAGUAAAAAUACAAAAAAGCGGUCCACAAGAUCUAAGUAGUAACAUGGAGUGCUUUCAUGCAUCAGUUUGCCUUGUGCAGAGAAUAUGUGUAAAAUGUAAGAGUUGUUUUUGCCGAACUUUAGCCAUAGUAUGUUUGUCUAGACGUGCGUUGCACGUGCAUGUUUACUAUCACGUAAACUGAAGCACUAAAUGGCUAGAAAGUAUUGUACUAUAGCAGCCCAAUUGAAAUGCAAACGGUUUAACCAAUCGAAAUGCAAACGGUUUUCAGACUUCAAAACUGAAACUGAAACCGAAACUUGAAAACCCCAAAAUUUUGGCUCGGUUUGGUUUUUGGUUUACGGUUCGGUUUUGCACACCCGGAAGCGACCAGUGCUAUGCAUUCGACAAUAUCUUACACAUGAUACAGACAGGUGUGCACAUGGAACUCAAAGAAAACUACUGUUGUGCAUACGUGACAUGUCCAGUUUGAAGUGCCAAAUUUUAGGUUCAACAACUUUAGACAGAAAAGUAGCUACUUUGGGAUAGGGGCAAAUUGGCUCCCGAGCUCAUCUACACUGGCCAUGAACAGUAAAAUCAAAUAAAAUACUAGAAAAAAUAAAAAAAAUUCCUUUUUGCAAGAUAGACAUUUCAGUGUGUGAGGUCCAUGCCAAAUUUCAGCUCAUUUGGACAUCUGAGUAGCUCUCAGCAAAAUAGACAAAUUUGAUGUUUGUGAAACAGUGUACUGUUCAUGUACUAUUUUGGCAGUUUUCUUUUGCUAAGAGCUACUCAGAUGUUCAAACAAGCUGAAAUUUUGCACGGACCUCACGCACUGAAACAUCUUCCAUGCACUUUUUAUUUAUUUUUUGUAGUAUUUAUUUUAUUUUACUGUUCAUAUGGUGCUGAUGAGAUCGCGCUCAGAAAUGGAUAUUUGCUACUUUGGACGAAUAUUCUUUCUGAGCCUUGGCUCAACUGAACCUGAUAUCUCCACCGUCUAGUUGAGAAAAAGGGUUUCCCCCCGCUUUAUAUUAUAAAACAACGAACCAAGCAUCCAACACAGCAGUACAGAGUACAAACAAGUCAUAAAGUCAUGCUGGGGGCACAGCAAGACAAGCCCCAAACAAAGCUAAAAAAGCUAAUCCGGCUUAGGAGGCAGUGGAGGGGCAAAAGCCGACGCCGAAGAACGAAGACCCGCAAUGAUGUUGUCGAUGACGUCUCGGUCGCGCCGCUUGCUAAGCGGUCUCCAAAGCUGUAAGAAGCCACACAUUUUAUAGAUUGCAUCGGUCACACGACGAGGAAUCACACGCUCAAUGACUAGUUUAUUAUGGGUACACCAGAGGGUCCAUGCCAGGGUACCCAGAGCUACCCAAGUGGGAGGGCGACUAGCGUCGGGGAGUCUAAAGACCUCCCCAAACUAGUCCGGGAGGUUGUCGUGGCACCAAUCGCCGCCAACCACCUCCCGGAAGCAACUCCAGAGGAACUACACUACAGGGCACCGGAAGAAGAUAUGGUUACAGUCUUCCGGUACCAAACAAAUGGGGCAGAGGCCAUCCCCAGGGCCAUUGCAUUUUCGGACCUCCAUGCCCGAAGGGAGGCGGCCUCGGACCCAUUGCCAGAGAAAUAUGCGGAUUUUUAAGGGGAGUUUGAUCUCCCAAAGAACCGAUAGCUCCACCGGGCCAGGGGUAGGGACAAUCGCCUGUAAAGGGAUCUAGUCGAGAAUCGGCCACUUGGCUCGAGAUGCCAAGACAACGAGUCGGGCUCCAGGGAGGGGGAGUGAAGGGAAAUACACUCAAGCAAUUCAUCCCAUUGCUCGAGCUCCACUGCCCCGAAGCUAUGGUGGAAGGCAAUAGCGCCCAGGUCAGCUAAAGCGAUAGCUGAGGGCGGACACAGAUCGAGAAUAGCGCAUAAAAGCGUUCAGCGAAGGGACGGGUCCCGGCCCAUCUAUCCAGCCAAAAGAGGGUGUCGGAACCGGUGCUCACCUUAAUGGAGGUCCCAAUGCGCAAUACCGGCAUCAGACAGAUCACCGAUUGCUAGAAUUCGGACCCUCCAGAUCUAGGGGUGAAGGCUAGCGGUUGCCCGCAGAGGUACUUUGCCCGGAUAAUCUCAAGCUAGAGGCCGCCCUCAUCGGUCUGAAUCCGCCAAAGCCAUUUAGAGAGGAGGGCAAUAUUCAUCCGCUUGGACGAAAUGACCCCAAUGCCUCGUUGGUCUUUAGGCUUACAGAUCUCAGACCACUUCACCAUGUGGUACUUUUGUUUAUUGUUCUCUCCAGCCCAGAAGAAUCUGGAGAGGAGUUUGGUGACCUCGUGAUGUAGGGAUUCAUGUAGACUAUAGAAUCCCAUGACGUACAUCAGUAGGCUAAUAAGGGAGGAGUUCAUCAAAAUCACUCGCGUGGCUUUGGACAGCCAUCUCCCCUACCAAGGCUCCAUCCGAGGUUGGAGUUUGGCGAUUAUUGGGCGGAAGUCUUUCUCCAGUAGACGCGUGUCGCUAAUUGGCAUGCCUAGGUAAGUAGUCGGGAAGGACCCCAAGCGGAAAUUCAAGCGAUUAGCAAUUCGCUGAGCUUCCGCCUAAGAGUAUCCAAGGACCAUCACCUCACUUUUGGCGAAAUUAAUCGUGAGGCCCGACAUCUCCUGAAAGCAGAGGAGGAGGAACUUGAGGUUCUGGAUGUCCUUGUCCGAGCCUUCCACCAUCAUAAUGGUGUCAUCUGCAUACUGGAGGUGGGUUAGACCUUCAUUGGGGACAAGAUGGGGGCAAAUCCCCUUGAUGUGGCCGGCUCGUUUGGCCAAGUCUUCUCUACUAUUAAUAAACAAGCAAACAUAUUCUUUCCUAAACGCACCCAGAAACACGUACACAGAAAAAUUAAGACCAAAUACCACCCCACGAUCUAACCUAUCUAAUUAGAUCUAACCGUUGGCAUUAGAAUUAACCCUCACCUGUGUAUGUUUAGCAAUUUGCACGAGCGGACGGAACUCUGCCACAUCUAUCGCACCCCUAUCAUCCGCGUCCAGAAAAAAACAAUGGGGCAAUCAAGUACGUAAAAGAUAUAGGCACAUCCUCUCUGCCACGGACACAGCCCUAGCGAUUGCGACGGCCACGAGAAUCCCCUCAGCGCCGGUGUCCCCGGCGGCCGCGCUCGCCGUGUCGUCCUCGGGAUCACCCGCCGGGUCAGCUCCCUUGACCUAGCCUUCAAGUCCGAAGCCCAGACCGUACCUAGCCCGCAGCAGCAUCCCUUAUUCCACAUCCCACUGGAGGAAGAUCGGGAAGAGGAGGCAGGGGAGAUGGGAGUGGGAGGCCGGUCCCGUGGGACCCGGCGGGGGACGAGUAUUGGCGCACGAGCCGACGCCCGCCUUGCGGCUGCUGGACACCAGUGAGCUGGAGCGGCUGCGGCGGGCGGCGCACGGGAUGGGGUGGUUGCGGGCGAAAAAGUGCGGAGUGACGGAUGAGGUGGAGGAGGACCUGCACAAGGUGUAUGCUGGCGGCCAGGGUCCCGCCGGCUGGGUCGUCGAGCCGCUUCGUCCGUGCAUGGACGGAGCAAGGGAGAUCAUAUCUUGUUGCCGGAUCCUCCAUGUGAGUGUUUAAUUACUUGCAAUUUUAUGCAACAGAUGCUUCAGAUUUAGUUUUCAGUUUUGUCAUCCAUCUAAUUGUGUAUAUAUGUGGCAGAGAAAUAUGAAAUUUUGAUGUAAAUGUUCAUUAAUCAUAACUGACAAUGCUCGAUGCAUGGGUGAGAGUGGAGGCCGGCUGAGGAAGACGACGCCAUCAAAGGGGAUGGAGUUCAUAUUGCAGCCUAUCAAAUGGUUUUAAGAUCCGGAAUAAGUGACUAGGCAAUUGUGUUGUUAAUUUGGUUUAACAGCUUCAAAGGGCACUGAGAAUGAAGUUUGCAUUCUACGAAACUCAUUGCUACCUUGCGACCAUAAUUUACCUUCCGAGCGCAAGAGGUGCAGUCAUCACCGUUCCUGCC
Triticum aestivum (bread wheat) is the source of this 6342-nucleotide long non-coding RNA. RefSeq lists it as uncharacterized. The transcript is spliced from 4 exons. Lineage: Eukaryota; Viridiplantae; Streptophyta; Magnoliopsida; Poales; Poaceae. The record is from RefSeq and is a predicted model, not a curated record.